RNAcentral lists this ribosomal RNA (494 nucleotides) under uncultured bacterium. Its description in RNAcentral is "bacterial SSU rRNA". It matches the Rfam family "Bacterial small subunit ribosomal RNA", at positions 30 to 514 of the family's 1533-position model. The record is from RNAcentral.
AUUGAACGCUGGCGGUAGGCUUAACACAUGCAAGUCGAACGGUAGCAGCUCUAGCUUGCUAGAGGCUGACGAGUGGCGGACGGGUGAGUAACGCGUAGGAAUCUACCUAAUAGUGGGGGACAACCUGGUGAAAACCAGGCUAAUACCGCAUACGCCCUACGGGGAAAGCGGGGAGUCUUCGGACCUCGCGCUAUUAGAUGAGCCUGCGUUAGAUUAGCUAGUUGGUGGGGUAAAGGCUCACCAAGGCGACGAUCUAUAGCUGGUCUGAGAGGAUGAUCAGCCACACUGGGACUGAGACACGGCCCAGACUCCUACGGGAGGCAGCAGUGGGGAAUAUUGCGCAAUGGGCGAAAGCCUGACGCAGCCAUACCGCGUGUGUGAAGAAGGGUUUAGGCUCGUAAAGCACUUUAAGUAGGGAGGAAGGCCUAAAGUUUAAUACGCUUUAGGAUUGACGUUACCUACAGAAUAAGCACCGGCUAACUCCGUGCCAGCAG